UGCCAGACUCCUACGGGAGGCAGCAGUGAGGAAUAUUGGUCAAUGGACGCAAGUCUGAACCAGCCAUGCCGCGUGCAGGAAGACGGCUCUAUGAGUUGUAAACUGCUUUUGUACGAGGGUAAAUCCCGAUACGUGUAUCGGGUUGAAAGUAUCGUACGAAUAAGCAUCGGCUAACUCCGUGCCAGCAGCCGCGGUAAUACGGAGGAUGCGAGCGUUAUCCGGAUUUAUUGGGUUUAAAGGGUGCGUAGGCGGACUGUUAGGCCAGGGGUAAAGGCCGGGGGCCCACCCCCGGCGAGCCGUUGAAACUGGCUGUCUUGAGAUGUCGAGAGGUAUGCGGAAUGCGCAGUGUAGCGGUGAAAUGCUUAGAUAUUGCGCAGAACUCCGAUUGCGAAGGCAGCAUACCGGCGGCGAUCUGACGCUGAGGCACGAAAGCGUGGGUAUCGAACAGGAUUAGAUACCCGGGUA
This 465-nucleotide ribosomal RNA is filed under the name uncultured bacterium. RNAcentral describes it as "bacterial SSU rRNA". It matches the Rfam family "Bacterial small subunit ribosomal RNA", at positions 329 to 792 of the family's 1533-position model. The record is from RNAcentral.